Molecule: ribosomal RNA, 460 nt
Filed under: uncultured bacterium
Lineage: Bacteria
Description: partial 16S ribosomal RNA
Rfam family: Bacterial small subunit ribosomal RNA
Source: RNAcentral
CCUACGGGAGGCAGCAGUGAGGAAUAUUGGUCAAUGGGCGGAAGCCUGAACCAGCCAAGUAGCGUGCAGGAUGACGGCCCUACGGGUUGUAAACUGCUUUUAUACGGGAAUAACGCGCCUUACGUGUAGGGCUUUGCAUGUACCGUAUGAAUAAGGACCGGCUAAUUCCGUGCCAGCAGCCGCGGUAAUACGGAAGGUCCGGGGGUUAUCCGGAUUUAUUGGGUUUAAAGGGAGCGUAGGCCGCAUGUCAAGCGUGCUGUGAAAUGUCCGGGCUCAACCCGGGCCUUGCAGCGCGAACUGGCGUGCUUGAGUCCGCGGAAAGCAGGCGGAAUUCGUCGUGUAGCGGUGAAAUGCUUAGAUAUGACGAAGAACCCCGAUUGCGAAGGCAGCAUGCUGCAGCGGAACUGACGCUGAUGCUCGAAAGCGCGGGUAUCGAACAGGAUUAGAUACCCGUGUAGUC